GCCUGGUUAGCUCAGUUGGUUAGAGCGUGGUGCUAAUAAUGCCAAGGUCACAGGUUCAAUCCCUGCUCACUGCA
Molecule: non-coding RNA, 74 nt
Organism: Pelecanus crispus (Dalmatian pelican)
Lineage: Eukaryota; Metazoa; Chordata; Aves; Pelecaniformes; Pelecanidae
Source: Rfam